UUGGAGGGCAAGUCUGGUGCCAGCAGCCGCGGUAAUUCCAGCUCCAAUAGCGUAUAUUAAAGUUGUUGCAGUUAAAAAGCUCGUAGUUGAACCUCGGGGUCUACCCAUUGGUCAGGCUUAAUUGUCUGCACUGGUGAGAUGGAUCUCUACCUUCUGAGGAACUUUCAUGCCAUUCAUUUGGUGUGAUGGGAAAUCAGGACUGUUACUUUGAAAAAAUUAGAGUGUUUAAAGCAGACUAUCGUCUGAAUACAUUAGCAUGGAAUAAUGAAAUAGGACGGACUGAUUCUAUUUCGUUGGUUUCUAGGAUCACCGUAAUGAUUAAUAGGGAUAGUUGGGGGCAUUAGUAUUCAAUUGUCAGAGGUGAAAUUCUUGGAUUUAUUGAAGACUAACUACUGCGAAAGCAUUUGCCAAGGAUGUUUUCAUUAAUCAAGAACGAAAGUUAGGGGAUCGAAGACGAUCAGAUACCGUCGUAGUCAUAACCAUAAACUAUGCCGACUAGGGAUCGGACGAUGUUAAAUUUUAUUGACUCGUUCGGCGCCUUACGGGAAAC
RNAcentral lists this ribosomal RNA (550 nucleotides) under uncultured Diversisporaceae. Its description in RNAcentral is "SSU rRNA". It matches the Rfam family "Eukaryotic small subunit ribosomal RNA", at positions 548 to 1098 of the family's 1831-position model. The record is from RNAcentral. Lineage: Eukaryota; Fungi; Glomeromycota; Glomeromycetes; Diversisporales.